Molecule: transfer RNA, 71 nt
Filed under: Bos taurus (domestic cattle)
Lineage: Eukaryota; Metazoa; Chordata; Mammalia; Artiodactyla; Bovidae
Also listed under: 2 other names
Rfam family: tRNA
About the family: Transfer RNA (tRNA) molecules are approximately 80 nucleotides in length.
Source: Rfam by way of RNAcentral
UCCCAGGUGGCUCAGCGGAAAAGAGUCUGCCUGCGAUGCAGAAGACCCGGGUUCGAUCCCUGGGUUGGGAA